CUCAUUAAAUCAGUUAUCGUUUAUUUGAUAGUACCUUACUACUUGGAUAACCGUGGUAAUUCUAGAGCUAAUACAUGCUGAAAACCCCCACUUCGGAAGGGGUGUAUUUAUUAGAUAAAAAACCAAUGCCCUUCGGGGCUUCUUGGUGAUUCAUGAUAACUUCACGGAUCGCAUGGCCUUGCGCCGGCGACGGUUCAUUCAAAUUUCUGCCCUAUCAACUUUCGAUGGUAAGGUAUUGGCUUACCAUGGUUUCA
This 254-nucleotide ribosomal RNA is filed under the name uncultured Pleosporales. Its description in RNAcentral is "partial 18S ribosomal RNA". It matches the Rfam family "Eukaryotic small subunit ribosomal RNA", at positions 97 to 354 of the family's 1831-position model. Lineage: Eukaryota; Fungi; Ascomycota; Dothideomycetes; Pleosporales. The record is from RNAcentral.